This 107-nucleotide small nuclear RNA is filed under the name Equus asinus (donkey). Lineage: Eukaryota; Metazoa; Chordata; Mammalia; Perissodactyla; Equidae. The record is from RNAcentral.
GUGCUCACUUCAGCAGCACAUAUAUUAAAACUGGAACAAUACAGAGAAGAUUUGCACGGCCCCUGUGCAAGGGUGACAGGUAAAUUUGUGAAGCAUUCCAUAUUUUU